Molecule: ribosomal RNA, 497 nt
Filed under: uncultured bacterium
Lineage: Bacteria
Description: partial 16S ribosomal RNA
Rfam family: Bacterial small subunit ribosomal RNA
Source: RNAcentral
GAUGAACGCUGGCGGCGUGCCUAAUACAUGCAAGUCGAGCGAACAGACGAGGAGCUUGCUCCUCUGACGUUAGCGGCGGACGGGUGAGUAACACGUGGAUAACCUACCUAUAAGACUGGGAUAACUUCGGGAAACCGGAGCUAAUACCGGAUAAUAUAUUGAACCGCAUGGUUCAAUAGUGAAAGACGGUUUUGCUGUCACUUAUAGAUGGAUCCGCGCCGCAUUAGCUAGUUGGUAAGGUAACGGCUUACCAAGGCAACGAUGCGUAGCCGACCUGAGAGGGGGAUCGCCAACACUGGAACUGAGACACGGCCCAGACGCCUACGGGAGGCAGCAGUAGGGAAUCUUCCGCAAUGGGCGAAAGCCUGACGGAGCAACGCCGCGUGAGUGAUGAAGGUCUUCGGAUCGUAAAACUCUGUUAUGAGGGAAGAACAAAUGUGUAAGUAAAUGUGCACGUCUUGACGGUACCUAAUCAGAAAGCCACGGCUAACUACGUG